RNAcentral lists this ribosomal RNA (422 nucleotides) under uncultured Glomeromycotina. RNAcentral's name for it is "SSU rRNA". It matches the Rfam family "Eukaryotic small subunit ribosomal RNA", at positions 672 to 1092 of the family's 1831-position model. The record is from RNAcentral. Lineage: Eukaryota; Fungi; Glomeromycota.
GGUACGUACUGGCAUUGUUGGUUUCUCCCUUCUGACGAACCAUGAUGUCAUUUAUUUGGUGUUGUGGGGAAUCAGGACUGUUACUUUGAAAAAAUUAGAGUGUUUAAAGCAGGCUCACGCUUGAAUACAUUAGCAUGGAAUAAUGAAAUAGGACGUUUGAUUCUAUUUUGUUGGUUUCUAGGAUCGACGUAAUGAUUAAUAGGGAUAGUUGGGGGCAUUAGUAUUCAAUUGUCAGAGGUGAAAUUCUUGGAUUUAUUGAAGACUAACUACUGCGAAAGCAUUUGCCAAGGAUGUUUUCAUUAAUCAAGAACGAAAGUUAGGGGAUCGAAGACGAUCAGAUACCGUCGUAGUCUUAACCAUAAACUAUGCCGACUAGGGAUCGGAUGAUGUUAAUUUUUUAAUGACUCAUUCGGCGCCUUACG